This 206-nucleotide ribosomal RNA is filed under the name uncultured bacterium. RNAcentral's name for it is "partial 16S ribosomal RNA". It matches the Rfam family "Bacterial small subunit ribosomal RNA", at positions 568 to 773 of the family's 1533-position model. The record is from RNAcentral.
AGCGUAGGCGGACUUUUAAGUGAGAUGUGAAAUACCCGGGCUCAACUUGGGUGCUGCAUUUCAAACUGGAAGUCUAGAGUGCAGGAGAGGAGAAGGGAAUUCCUAGUGUAGCGGUGAAAUGCGUAGAGAUUAGGAAGAACACCAGUGGCGAAGGCGCUUCUCUGGACUGUAACUGACGCUGAGGCUCGAAAGCGUGGGGAGCAACA